Molecule: ribosomal RNA, 670 nt
Filed under: uncultured Synechococcus sp.
Lineage: Bacteria; Bacillati; Cyanobacteriota; Cyanophyceae; Synechococcales; Synechococcaceae
Description: bacterial SSU rRNA
Rfam family: Bacterial small subunit ribosomal RNA
Source: RNAcentral
ACGCUGGCGGCGUGCUUAACACAUGCAGUCGAACGAACCUUCGGGUUAGUGGCGGACGGGUGAGUAACGCGUGAGAAUCUGCCCUCAGUGAGGGGGACAACAGCUGGAAACGACUGCUAAUACCCCAUAUGCCGCGAGGUGAAAUGAAUUUCGCCUGAGGAUGAGCUCGCGUCUGAUUAGCUAGUUGGUGUAGGUAAUGGCUCACCAAGGCAUCGAUCAGUAGCUGGUCUGAGAGGAUGAUCAGCCACACUGGGACUGAGACACGGCCAGACUCCUACGGGAGGCAGCAGUGGGGAAUUUUCCGCAAUGGGCGAAAGCCUGACGGAGCAACGCCGCGUGAGGGAUGAAGGCCUCUGGGCUGUAAACCUCUUUUAUCAAGGAAGAAGAUCUGACGGUACUUGAUGAAUAAGCCACGGCUAAUUCCGUGCCAGCAGCCGCGGUAAUACGGGAGUGGCAAGCGUUAUCCGGAAUUAUUGGGCGUAAAGCGUCCGCAGGCGGCCUUCAAGUCUGCUGUUAAACAAGUGGAGCUUAACUCCAUCAUGGCAGUUGGAAACUGUUGGGCUUGACUGUGGUAAGGGCAGAGGGAAUUCCCGGUGUAGACGGUGAAAAUGCGUAGAUAUCGGGAAGACACCAGUGGCAGAAGCGCUCUGCUGGGCCAUCAACUGAACGC